This 763-nucleotide ribosomal RNA is filed under the name uncultured Streptococcus sp. Its description in RNAcentral is "bacterial SSU rRNA". It matches the Rfam family "Bacterial small subunit ribosomal RNA", at positions 28 to 776 of the family's 1533-position model. The record is from RNAcentral. Lineage: Bacteria; Bacillati; Bacillota; Bacilli; Lactobacillales; Streptococcaceae.
GACGAACGCUGGCGGCGUGCCUAAUACAUGCAAGUAGAACGCUGAAGGAGGAGCUUGCUCUUCUGGAUGAGUUGCGAACGGGUGAGUAACGCGUAGGUAACCUGCCUGGUAGCGGGGGAUAACUAUUGGAAACGAUAGCUAAUACCGCAUAACAACAGUUGUUGCAUGACAGCUGUUUAAAAGAUGCAAUUGCAUCACUACCAGAUGGACCUGCGUUGUAUUAGCUAGUUGGUGAGGUAACGGCUCACCAAGGCAACGAUACAUAGCCGACCUGAGAGGGUGAUCGGCCACACUGGGACUGAGACACGGCCCAGACUCCUACGGGAGGCAGCAGUAGGGAAUCUUCGGCAAUGGACGGAAGUCUGACCGAGCAACGCCGCGUGAGUGAAGAAGGUUUUCGGAUCGUAAAGCUCUGUUGUAAGAGAAGAACGAGUGUGAGAGUGGAAAGUUCACACUGUGACGGUAUCUUACCAGAAAGGGACGGCUAACUACGUGCCAGCAGCCGCGGUAAUACGUAGGUCCCGAGCGUUGUCCGGAUUUAUUGGGCGUAAAGCGAGCGCAGGCGGUUAGAUAAGUCUGAAGUUAAAGGCUGUGGCUUAACCAUAGUACGCUUUGGAAACUGUUUAACUUGAGUGCAAGAGGGGAGAGUGGAAUUCCAUGUGUAGCGGUGAAAUGCGUAGAUAUAUGGAGGAACACCGGUGGCGAAAGCGGCUCUCUGGCUUGUAACUGACGCUGAGGCUUGAAAGCGUGGGGAGCAAACAGG